CAGCUCAAAAAUAAGUAACCAAUCAAAAAUUAAAGCAUUCAGAGAAUAGAGGGGCAGACAAGGAAUGCCUUAGAUAAGACCAAACUGGCGGACAAAGAAAUUAGGAUAAUAAUGCUCAACUGAGCAUUUAUUAUUGAUUGAUCUUUCUAUAAUUGAUCCAUAUGAGGAUCUCCAGGAACCAAGAAAUCUCUUCAGAGAAUCUCCAUAGCUUUGGUUACUUCUAGGGACAUGACAUGUUGAGUUGUGGGAAUACUAACCUUAUGCUAUCUCUUGGAGUGGAAGGAAAAAAUCCUACACAACCCUAUCUAUGAUGGAGGACAAGUUCAUAGCAUAUCUAGCUACAAUACAUGAGGCAAUUUGACUAAAAAAUCCUUGCAAGAAUUGGAAGUUACCAUUAUUGUUUUAGAAUUAACAAAUUUAUUAUGAUAGUAAAGCAACUCUCGCCU
Molecule: long non-coding RNA, 446 nt
Filed under: Phoenix dactylifera (date palm)
Lineage: Eukaryota; Viridiplantae; Streptophyta; Magnoliopsida; Arecales; Arecaceae
Description: long non-coding RNA (PDAC_LNC004375)
Source: RNAcentral